CCAGACUCCUACGGGAGGCAGCAGUGGGGAAUAUUGCACAAUGGAGGAAACUCUGAUGCAGCGACGCCGCGUGAGGGAAGACGGUCUUCGGAUUGUAAACCUCUGUCUUUGGGGAAGAAAAUGACGGUACCCAAAGAGGAAGCUCCGGCUAACUACGUGCCAGCAGCCGCGGUCAUACGUAGGAUCCGAGCAUUAUCCGGAGUGACUGGGUGUAAAGAGUUGCGUAGGUGGCAUAAUAAGUAGCUAGUGAAAUCUGGUGGCUCAACCAUUCAGACUAUUAGCUAAACUGUUAAGCUCGAGACCGUUAGGGGUAACUGGAAUUUCUAGUGUAGGAGUGAAAUCCGUAGAUAUUAGAAGGAACACCAAUAGCGUAGGCAGGUUACUGGGACGGUUCUGACACUAAGGCACGAAAGCGUAGGGAGCAAACGGGAUUAGAUACCCGGGUAAAA
This 449-nucleotide ribosomal RNA is filed under the name uncultured bacterium. RNAcentral's name for it is "bacterial SSU rRNA". It matches the Rfam family "Bacterial small subunit ribosomal RNA", at positions 331 to 793 of the family's 1533-position model. The record is from RNAcentral.